RNAcentral lists this ribosomal RNA (396 nucleotides) under uncultured bacterium. RNAcentral describes it as "partial 16S ribosomal RNA". It matches the Rfam family "Bacterial small subunit ribosomal RNA", at positions 523 to 917 of the family's 1533-position model. The record is from RNAcentral.
AUACGUAGGUGACAAGCGUUAUCCGGAUUUACUGGGCGUAAAGGGCGUGUAGGCGGUCUUGCAAGUCAGAAGUGAAAUUCCUGAGCUCAACUCGGGCGCUGCUUCUGAAACUGCAGGACUUGAGUGCUGGAGGGGAUAGCGGAAUUCCUAGUGGAGCGGUAAAAUGCGCAGAUAUUAGGAAGAACACCGGUGGCGAAGGCGGCUAUCUGGACAGUAACUGACGCUGAGGCGCGAAAGCGUGGGGAGCAAACAGGAUUAGAUCCCCUGGUAGUCCACGCCGUAAACGAUGAAUACUAGGUGUGGGGGGUAUCGACUCCCUCUGUGCCGCAGUUAACACAAUAAGUAUUCCGCCUGGGGAGUACGGCCGCAAGGUUGAAACUCAAAUGAAUUGACGGG